GGCGGCGUAACUCAGCCUGAUAGAGUAGUCGGCUCAUACCCGAUAAGUCAGAGGUUUAAAUCCUCUCGCCGCCACUA
RNAcentral lists this transfer RNA (77 nucleotides) under Candidatus Omnitrophota bacterium. RNAcentral's name for it is "Candidatus Omnitrophica bacterium tRNA-Met". It matches the Rfam family "tRNA". Rfam says of the family: Transfer RNA (tRNA) molecules are approximately 80 nucleotides in length. Their secondary structure includes four short double-helical elements and three loops (D, anti-codon, and T loops). Further hydrogen bonds mediate the characteristic L-shaped molecular structure. tRNAs have two regions of fundamental functional importance: the anti-codon, which is responsible for specific mRNA codon recognition, and the 3' end, to which the tRNAs corresponding amino acid is attached (by aminoacyl-tRNA synthetases). tRNAs cope with the degeneracy of the genetic code in two manners: having more than one tRNA (with a specific anti-codon) for a particular amino acid; and 'wobble' base-pairing, i.e. permitting non-standard base-pairing at the 3rd anti-codon position. The record is from RNAcentral. Lineage: Bacteria; Pseudomonadati; Candidatus Omnitrophota.